RNAcentral lists this ribosomal RNA (460 nucleotides) under uncultured bacterium. RNAcentral's name for it is "partial 16S ribosomal RNA". It matches the Rfam family "Bacterial small subunit ribosomal RNA", at positions 338 to 795 of the family's 1533-position model. The record is from RNAcentral.
CCUACGGGAGGCAGCAGUGAGGAAUAUUGGUCAAUGGACGCAAGUCUGAACCCGCCAUGCCGCGUGCAGGAUGACGGCUCUAUUAGUUGUAAAAUGCUUUUGUACGAGGGUAAACCCCGAUACGUGUAUCGGGUUGAAAGUAUCGUACGAAUAAGGAUCGGCUAACUCCGUGCCAGCAGCCGCGGUAAUACGGAGGAUCCGAGCGUUAUCCGGAUUUCUUGGGUUUAACGGGUGCGUAGGCGGUUUGAUAAGUUAGAUGUGAAAGGUCGGGGCUCAACCCCGAAACUGCCUCUAAUACUGUUGGACUAGAGAAUAGUUGCGGUAGGCGGAAUGUAUGGUGUAGCGGUGAAAUGCUGAGAGAUCAUACAGAACACCGAGUGCGAAGGCAGCUUACCAAACUAUAUCGGACGUUGAGGCACGAAAGCGUGGGUAGCAAACAGGAUUAGAUACCCUUGUAGUC